Molecule: long non-coding RNA, 1957 nt
Organism: Cyprinus carpio carpio
Lineage: Eukaryota; Metazoa; Chordata; Actinopteri; Cypriniformes; Cyprinidae
Source: Ensembl
GCCAUGCGCUGGAACCAACAAAAAGUUUGACAACUUGGCUUCUACCCUUGCCCGCCGAUAUCGGAAGGUAAAGACACCAGUUUUCCCUUAUGCAAAAUGCAUAGCGAUAUUGUAAAAUAAAGCAAAUAAAUGGCAUAUAUCACAAAAAUAUAGAGAACACUUGCCCAGAUAUUCUUUAAUAUAUAUUAAAUAUACGGAUGGUUGCAUGUGUAGUGUCAAUUGUAUUUUUUAGUGUCUUGAUAUAAAAUAUUACAUGUUCAUACCACAUAUAUUGAUAGUCCACGUAUAUACGAAUAUACUGUAUAUUUAAUUAGUGUUGUAUGUGGUUUUCUAAUAGUGAAGGUACUUCACAAUCCUUAUCAACAAUAGUCAAAGUGGUAGGCGUUUUCCUCAUUGUCAUUUAUGUUUGAAGGCCACAAUAGCCCUGCAAUGCCAGUUGCAUAACCUGGAGGCCAUGAAAACGGAAAUGGACGUCUCAGACAAUCAACUGGAGAGGUGGAUCAUUGAUAUCAAUGAGUGGGCAGAAGCAACAACAUCCCCAAAUGAUGCUGAUGUUGCCGCUGUUGCCAGCCGAAUUGAGGAGCUGGUGGCAAGUGUUAAGAGGAGGUCCCAGCGUCUUUACAAGGAUAGUGACGGAUGCAAAGGGACGUGCCCGAAUCCGCCGAAAGAUCAGGGAGGAAAAAUCUUAAAUUCUGUAGUGGAAAAAGUACAACACCUUGGUUCCUAAUGCAGAAAAAAACUGUCAUUGGACACCAUUCUAUCUGACGAGAUUGUUUGGCCAUGGCAGCUUACACACGGUGGUAUGUACACAAUUCCAUUGUCACAUAGUGGGACAAAAAUCUGUCAUGCCUCGAUUUUACACCUGAAAAUCUCUAAAUACUAAUCUCAAAUACAACCGACUUAUGUUUCAUCUAUGUAUUCCAGACUCUGUUGAUCUAAGGACAAAGAGGAAGGCGUUCGACAUUGUGAUGGCAGUAAGGAGACUUGAGGAGGAGAAGAGGAUUCUUAUUGCAGAGAUGAACAAGCAUUGGAAGUCUCUUUGCUCCCGUGCAGACACCCUGAAGCAGAUGUCAUCCAAGCUUUCUAAUGUGACAUCAGGUGAGACUUGGGGCCUGCUUCAAGAUGGUAUCCGAGGUCUACAAAGCUUGACGAUGAAGAACAAGCGAGCAAGCAACAGCCUGGCAAAGCAUGCAAAGAAAUAUUAUGUUCAAGUUCUGACUGAAACAGAAAUUAACUUUGAUAGUGAUUCUGAGGAAUACCAUACCAGUAGUGACUCUGAGCAAGAUUAAACAUGGCCAGAGUCCUUUUUAUGCUGUUGUGUGCUGGGGAGGCAGCAUUAAAGAAGAGGGCCGCUGGGACAGGUUGUUAAGGAAAGCUGGCUCUGUGUUUGGCAUGGAGCUGGAGUUAAUUAUUUAACAAACUGAGGAUAAUUUGCAGUAGCAGUCUUCUGUCAUGCUCAACAUUGAGGAGGUCCUUUGUCCCCAGGGCAUACCAGCAACUCAAUGUCACAGAAAAGGUUAGGGGAGAAAUUGACUUUUCAGCAUGAGUCUCACCCUGCGCCAACCAUUACAUCGCUUUGUCUAUUGUCUAGUAUCCACUAUCCAUUUGACUGUCUUACAGGCUACAUUAGCCCCUCUACACAUUCUGAACUGUGGUUUCAACAUUUACCCCUGUUGGCUUGUAUAAUCUUUUUUUCUUUUUUUAUAUAUAUUUAAGUUUCUGUUUUUUUCUAUCUAUUUUAACUUCUUUGUAUUGUUUUUUUGUUAAGCAAUACUAUUAUGCUCAGACUCUUUUUUUCCAUAGUCAUAUUAAACAUGCACAGCUUUGCACUGAUUAAAUCCCUGCACUGUUUACUUUUUGCACUACCACCACUGCAAAUCACUCUAUAGUUGCCCAUCAUGUAUCACAGGGUCAGUCCCUACCAGGCCUUUGUAAUCACUUGACAUGCUCUUCACUU